UCCAGGCACAGGAUAGUACUAAAGAUUAUUUUCCUGCUGGGGCCAUGGGCAAGAAAAGGAAGAGGAAGAUUCAUGAUCAGAGGCAUAGUAAGGUACUAAGCCUCUGAGAAGGAUAGACAUGGGGCACGAGCUCAUGGAUCCUGUUUGUUCAUCAGCUCAGCUAAGGCUCCACCUCUACUACUGCCACACAAAUGCCCUGCCCCCAACAAUGAGAAACCAAGGGAAGCGUGCUUCUGUGCUAAAAUCAUAUAGAAAAGGAUUAUAAAAGAAAGCAGCAACUAAUUAUUAACAUCAGGUUCCUACUCAGGUCCCCAUAUU
Molecule: long non-coding RNA, 318 nt
Filed under: Chloebia gouldiae (Gouldian finch)
Lineage: Eukaryota; Metazoa; Chordata; Aves; Passeriformes; Passeridae
Description: Erythrura gouldiae (Gouldian finch) lncRNA (ENSEGOG00005007159.1)
Source: RNAcentral